This 431-nucleotide ribosomal RNA is filed under the name uncultured bacterium. Its description in RNAcentral is "partial 16S ribosomal RNA". It matches the Rfam family "Bacterial small subunit ribosomal RNA", at positions 29 to 505 of the family's 1533-position model. The record is from RNAcentral.
AACGAACGCUGGCGGCAGGCCUAACACAUGCAAGUCGAGCGAGAUCUUCGGGUCUAGCGGCGGACGGGUGAGUAACGCGUGGGAAUAUGCCUCUUGGUACGGAAUAGCCUCGGGAAACUGGGAGUAAUACCGUAUGUGCCCUUUGGGGGAAAGAUUUAUCGCCAAGAGAUUAGCCCGCGUUGGAUUAGGUAGUUGGUGGGGUAAUGGCCUACCAAGCCGACGAUCCAUAGCUGGUUUGAGAGGAUGAUCAGCCACACUGGGACUGAGACACGGCCCAGACUCCUACGGGAGGCAGCAGUGGGGAAUCUUAGACAAUGGGGGCAACCCUGAUCUAGCCAUGCCGCGUGAGUGAUGAAGGCCUUAGGGUUGUAAAGCUCUUUCAGCUGGGAAGAUAAUGACGGUACCAGCAGAAGAAGCCCCGGCUAACUCCG